AUUUCCCAGAGCCUAAUGAACCCUGGCUCUCGGUGUGAUAAGCUUCUAUGGAGAGGGAAAUAUUCCCACAAUCUGGUUCCUCAGAGAGACCAAACUUUCUUCUGCAGCACUGUAUGGGAAACAGAACCAGGAGCACACCAAUGGCACAGUAUAAAAAGAUAUAUUUAUUGUAAAACAAUUAAAACUGCUUACUCAGCAAGAUGUGGGCUUGUGACAAACAAGUUUCCACGAAAAGCGUUUGUUUAAAAGUCAAUUGCUC
Non-coding RNA from Pelobates cultripes (western spadefoot toad), 259 nucleotides. The record is from the annotation of a GenBank genome assembly. NCBI's taxonomy places the organism in Eukaryota, Metazoa, Chordata, Amphibia, Anura, Pelobatidae.